CCUACGGGAGGCAGCAGUGGGGAAUUUUCCGCAAUGGGCGAAAGCCUGACGGAGCAAUACCGCGUGAGGGAGGAAGGCUCUUGGGUUGUAAACCUCUUUUUUCAGGGAAGAUAAUGGCGGUACCUGAGGAAUAAGCAUCGGCUAACUCCGUGCCAGCAGCCGCGGUAAUACGGAGGAUGCAAGCGUUAUCCGGAAUGAUUGGGCGUAAAGCGUCCGCAGGUGGUUUUAAAAGUCUGUUGUUAAAGCGUGAGGCUUAACCUCAUAAGGGCAAUGGAAACUGUAAGACUAGAGUACGUUCGGGGCAAGGGGAAUUCCCAGUGUAGCGGUGAAAUGCGUAGAGAUUGGGAAGAACACCGGUGGCGAAAGCGCCUUGCUAGGCCGUAACUGACACUGAGGGACGAAAGCUAGGGGAGCGAAUGGGAUUAGAUACCCCAGUAGUCCUAGCCGUAAACGAUGGAUACUAGGCGUUGUCUGUAUCGACCCGGACAGUGCCGUAGCUAACGCGUUAAGUAUCCCGCCUGGGGAGUACGCACGCAAGUGUGAAACUCAAGGAAUUGACGGNNGAGANGCGACGCGACACGAGGAGAG
Molecule: ribosomal RNA, 588 nt
Filed under: uncultured bacterium
Lineage: Bacteria
Description: bacterial SSU rRNA
Rfam family: Bacterial small subunit ribosomal RNA
Source: RNAcentral